GACGAACGCUGGCGGCGUGCUUAACACAUGCAAGUCGAACGGAAAGGCCCUGCUUUUGUGGGGUGCUCGAGUGGCGAACGGGUGAGUAACACGUGAGUAACCUGCCCUUGACUUUGGGAUAACUUCAGGAAACUGGGGCUAAUACCGGAUAGGAGCUCCUGCUGCAUGGUGGGGGUUGGAAAGUUUCGGCGGUUGGGGAUGGACUCGCGGCUUAUCAGCUUGUUGGUGGGGUAGUGGCUUACCAAGGCUUUGACGGGUAGCCGGCCUGAGAGGGUGACCGGCAACAUGGGAAGAGGACACGGGCAGGGAGUCGUGGGGGAGAAAGGGGGGGGGAUGUUGGCAUGAGGGAGGGAAGCAGGGUGCAGCACGCCGGGGGGGGGGGUGGCGGCCUGCGGUUUUGAGCCGGUUUUGGCCUGUAAGUGAGGGGGUGUGCCGGUAAGGGAUAAAGAAGCACCGGCUAACUCCGUG
RNAcentral lists this ribosomal RNA (468 nucleotides) under uncultured bacterium. RNAcentral describes it as "partial 16S ribosomal RNA". It matches the Rfam family "Bacterial small subunit ribosomal RNA", at positions 28 to 507 of the family's 1533-position model. The record is from RNAcentral.